CCUACGGGAGGCAGCAGUGAGGAAUAUUGGUCAAUGGGCGGGAGCCUGAACCAGCCAAGCCGCGUGAGGGAAGAAGGUACAGCGUAUCGUAAACCUCUUUUGUCAGGGAACAAAGGCGGGGACUAGUCCCCGGAUGAGGGUACCUGAAGAAAAAGCAUCGGCUAACUCCGUGCCAGCAGCCGCGGUAAUACGGAGGAUGCGAGCGUUAUCCGGAUUUAUGGGGUUUAAAGGGUGCGCAGGCGGCCUGUUAAGUCAGCGGUAAAAGCCCGGGGCUAAACCCCGGCGAGCCGUUGAAACUGGCGGGCUGGAGUUGGAGAGAAGUACGCGGAAUGCGCGGUGUAGCGGUGAAAUGCUUAGAUAUCGCGCAGAACCCCGAUUGCGAAGGCAGCGUACCGGCUCCACACUGACGCUGAGGCACGAAAGCGUGGGUAUCGAACAGGAUUAGAUACCCCAGUAGUC
RNAcentral lists this ribosomal RNA (459 nucleotides) under uncultured bacterium. RNAcentral's name for it is "partial 16S ribosomal RNA". It matches the Rfam family "Bacterial small subunit ribosomal RNA", at positions 338 to 795 of the family's 1533-position model. The record is from RNAcentral.